UCUUAGGUAGUAUAGUGGUUAGUAUUCGCGCUUGUCAAGGGUUCAACUUUAGAUCGCGCGAGACUUGCGCGAGACCGGGGUUUAAUUCCCCACCUGAGAG
Sphaerobolus stellatus SS14 is the source of this 100-nucleotide non-coding RNA. The record is from the annotation of a GenBank genome assembly. Lineage: Eukaryota; Fungi; Basidiomycota; Agaricomycetes; Geastrales; Sphaerobolaceae.